UUUCUGGGCAAAUGUUUUGAAAGCAUCAAAUUUAUAACCAAGAACUUAGAACUUCCAAUGAUAGCAUCUUGUGAUGAGAAAAGUAUUGGCAUGCUUUCUAGGCAAAUGUUCUGAAAGCAUCAGAUCUAUAGUCAGGAACCCAGAGAUUCCAAUGAUAGCAUCUUGUGGUUUUCUUGUUGCAACAUCUUACAAAAGUUGUCUGUGACUCCAAUUUUGCUGAUGAAGAGACGAGGAAGAAACACUGCCUGUGAAAAGAAAGAAGGCAUCAAAAGAAGAUGAAAGAAAGAGGAAGAAAAAGGCAACAAAAGAAAAUGAAGGAAACAAGGAGGCAUCAAAAGAAAACAAUGGAACGGAAAAGAAGGCAUCGAAAGAAAACGAGGGAAGCAAGACGUUAAAAUCCAAGAAAGGCAAAAUGUCAAAAUGUGAGAUUCAUGAUGAAUCUUGAUUCAUAUUUAUUACAUGAGCAUGCUUGUGUGUACAAUCCAAAGCGCCGGAGUCAAACGUUGACAUGCAUUAUGACUAAGAAUGUAUGAUGAAAGAAGCCAAAGAUUGGAGUGCAGUUGCUGUGUGUCCUAUUUUUGCAGGAAGAAAGACAUUAGGAGUACAGGAAGCCUUCAUGUAUCAUUAACGUAGGGGCUAAUGUUUUUGUUAUUUAUUAUGCUAGGAGCUGAGACUAAGAUGCAAGUAGAUGACCAUAUUGUAGCAAAAUGACGAUGUUAAUUUAUUCAGUUUGUGGAAUUGUUUUUCUUUUAUUCCUGACUAGCGUGGGAAAGUC
Long non-coding RNA from Quercus robur (English oak), 775 nucleotides. RefSeq lists it as uncharacterized. The record is from RefSeq and is a predicted model, not a curated record. The transcript has 4 exons. NCBI's taxonomy places the organism in Eukaryota, Viridiplantae, Streptophyta, Magnoliopsida, Fagales, Fagaceae.